UACGGGGGGGGUAAGCGUUGUUCGGAAUUACUGGGCGUAAAGGGCUCGUAGGCGGCCAACUAAGUCGGACGUGAAAUCCCUCAGCUUAACUGGGGAACUGCGUCCGAUACUGGAUGGCUUGGAUUUGGGAGAGGGAUGCGGAAUUCCUGGUGUAGCGGUGAAAUGCGCAGAUAUCAGGAGGAACACCGAUGGCGAAGGCAGGUCUCUGGGCCACUACUGACGCUGAGAAGCGAAAGCAUGGGGAGCGAACAGG
RNAcentral lists this ribosomal RNA (253 nucleotides) under uncultured bacterium. Its description in RNAcentral is "partial 16S ribosomal RNA". It matches the Rfam family "Bacterial small subunit ribosomal RNA", at positions 524 to 776 of the family's 1533-position model. The record is from RNAcentral.